This 547-nucleotide ribosomal RNA is filed under the name uncultured bacterium. RNAcentral describes it as "partial 16S ribosomal RNA". It matches the Rfam family "Bacterial small subunit ribosomal RNA", at positions 355 to 892 of the family's 1533-position model. The record is from RNAcentral.
UGGGGAAUUUUGGACAAUGGGCGAAAGCCUGAUCCAGCAAUGCCGCGUGUGUGAAGAAGGCCUUCGGGUUGUAAAGCACUUUUGUCCGGAAAGAAAUCCUUGGCUCUAAUACAGUCGGGGGAUGACGGUACCAGAAGAAUAAGCACCGGCUAACUACGUGCCAGCAGCCGCGGUAAUACGUAGGGCGCAAGCGUUAAUCGGAAUUACUGGGCGUAAAGCGUGCGCAGGGCGGUUUGCUAAGACCGAUGUGAAAUCCCCGGGCUCAACCUGGGAACUGCAUUGGUGACUGGCAGGCUAGAGUAUGGCAGAGGGGGGUAGAAUUCCACGUGUAGCAGUGAAAUGCGUAGAGAUGUGGAGGAAUACCGAUGGCGAAGGCAGCCCCCUGGGCCAAUACUGACGCUCAUGCACGAAAGCGUGGGGAGCAAACAGGAUUAGAUACCCUGGUAGUCCACGCCCUAAACGAUGUCAACUAGUUGUUGGGGGAUUCAUUUUCCUUAGUAACGUAGCUAACGCGUGAAGUUGACCGCCUGGGGAGUACGGUCGCAAG